ACGAGUUCAAAACACACUUCACUCCCUUGUCGCUUCAGAAAGGGAACGACUGGGGAUUACCUCUUUUCCUGUUGGGUACAUCUCUCUCUGAGUCUUCAUCUUUCUUUUUGUUUCCUAAGUCACUGGUGUUGACUGUGACAGUUGCCUUGAUUUCUUGCUGUGCCACUUUCAUGCGAUCAUAAAAAACCUUAAAGAACUUCUCGGAUUUCUUGUCUUCCGUCAGUCGGCAGAAGAAGGAAUGCUACGAGAGAAAAUGAACAGGAUCUGCAGCUGAAUCCAGAUUAUCCCACCUUUUGGCACUGACUGGCAUCCUGGAGGAACUGGAGGUUAAUUAGUUGUCAGUAAACUGAAACCCAGAGCAAUGGAAACUCGUACUUUAUUGUUAAGGAAGCCCCAGUGUCUCAGCUUUGUUAACUCCCUUAUUAACAACUUCAAAUACAUUAUUAAAGAGAAGUGAGGGCAAUAAAUCACACCAGCCCUGACAGAUUUGGGCAGCACACCUCUCUCAACAAGGGAAUUAAGAUAUAGCCUCACAGCAAAAAGUGUAAAAGUCUCCCUUUUUAAAAUGGAAAUGGAGUGGCCAUUUUAGAGCACCGUCUGCUGGGGUCCUGCUUGCACACAGACACCCUGCAACCACAGCAAGGCUGCUGAAAGAGCAAGUGUGGAGGAACAGCCAACCUCCACACUCGUACGGGUGUUUGAAGAACAGAGCUUCCAACGUGCCCCUGACAUCAGCCAUCCCUGAGCAGUCAGUCACCACCAGGCUGGGGCUUGGGAUCUCCUGAAAACCUACUGCAGGGCAGGGAAUUGUGAUCCCUAACACCCACAUGGGGCCGUCUCUGGCUGGCCCAGUACGAGGCACCAGAGGAGAAGCUGCCUGAAAGUGCCAUGACACAGCAGCCCAUGAGGUUUUCCCCAGGAACUCCAGGUUCAGCAAACAGCUUUACAAGUCCACACACCUCAACAAAACACAACAGAUCUCCAGAGCACAUCGACCAGCCGAGUGAAUAAACCACAACUGCUCAGAGGUGACAAUAUCUGAGAUAAUGUGAUGGCCACUAAUCACACAGCCACCCAACUAAACUGAAAACCACCUGCAUGUGACACGCACAAGGGUCUAACAGGACAGCUACGCUCACCAUGGGCAAGGACAUCACCACAGAGCUCUCCAUCACCUUCAAAGAUGGAGCAACCACCACCUGCACAAACUCACUCAUUGUUUCAAGGGGAUGGAAGGAAAAGAACCAGCACAGCAUCAUGUCUGCAAAGCCAGUCACACCAUUCCUCCUCCUGACAUCCAAAGUGAUCUAAAACAAACUGAAGGCCAAGUUUAAAUUGCAGCACACUGACCAGCCAUAGCCUGGCCCACCCUGGAGCACCAGCAGCCCCUCACUCUCCCUCAUCAACUCAGCCAAAGCUGUGUUUAAGUCAUGUGUUUUUUUGAGAAAAGCAUCUGGUCUUUCUUUAGAAGGCAAAGAUGAUGAACUAUGUCUCACUAUAGGCUAUUCCAGUGGUAAAUAACUGUUAGAAACAUGUGAUUAAGCUCCCUUUUAUGUCACUAACUUCCAGUCAUUGGUAUUUUUUUGUGUCUCUUCUGUAGUUAUUCCCAGGAAUUUGGUCUCCAAUCCCCUUCUAACUAUUUACAUACUCUGUGAAAUGUUUACCUAAUGUUUCUUGCUAAACUGAAAACACUAUUUUUGCUUGCUGGCUUUUCAUUUCAGCUUUAAUAUCAUUUUCUGUGGUGGUUAUUUUUUGGCAUGUUCUUAAAUAUUGCAGAUCAUUAACAAGCUGGAUUGCAGAAGCACAUUUAAAAAAAAAAUAAAUCACCAAAGAACUGGCACGUUUCCUAGCAUUAACAUUUCAUUCCAAGACCUUUGACAUAUGUAAUAUACAUAAUUUCCAGUGAUGAGUGAAAGAGAAGCUCAGCUCACUCCCCAGCGGUUCAGGGGAGGGGGAUUACAGAGGCAGGAUAACCAAGGGCAGGGACAAAUGCUCCUUAGUGUGAUUCCUGUACCAGCAAUCGGUAAAAAAAUGGAUUUUAACCAGCAGAACUGGCAUCUGUCCUUAGGAGAACAAAGCCAUAAACCCCAGCAGCCCGGUACCUUUGUGUAAGGUGCACAGAGUACAGACUCAGGUGACCAAUACACUAUAAAUAUAACUAAUCCACAAUAAAUUCAAUGAUGAGUGAGUUUGUGCCCAGUGUGGGAUUAUUAAAUGGGAAAAAAACCAGGAACCAGCUGAAGGCAGCUUAUUUCCAGCUCUUGCCUUUGAAAGCCUGGCCCAGUUUGGCCUGUGUGCUGUGUCACCUUUACUGGGAACACCUUUCCCUGUGCUGUAACCUGGGUCUGCCCCGACGUCACUACUGUUUUGUCGGCCAAGAAAAGGAACAACUGUUGGAUUACUUUGUAGGAACAGCUUGACUUUCCACCCCAGACACUAAUUCCAGGCUGGCCUGUUGGAAGGAUCAUGUGAGAAACGGAACCCAAACCUAUCAGCAAGCACUGGGUUUAAGCAGCAGCAUCUGCUCAGCUGUGUUUCCUCCCAAGAAGGGGUGGCCUGAGUCGAGACGAGCCCUUGGCUGCCGAUCCCACACGGAGAACACGGAGCACAGAGCACUUUUGGGACCACGCCCUCUCAAAGCUGUUUCACCACACCACAGCACUAAGCCCUGCCAGACCCUCCUACAGAUCCUGAAGAAUUCCCCAGGAGAACAAAUAUUUGAUUACCAAGGAAUAAGGAAAAGCAAAGGCCCAGCGAACACCUUGCCAAUUAAAGCAGACUGUUGUCAUGUCCUUCCCCAUCUCCCUAAUGCCAGGGAACAGAAAAUACCCCGUGAGCUUGGCGAGCCAGGGAGAUUUCAGAGAGGAAAGUCCCUCCAGAGAGAGGAGAAAGAUCAGUGAUCUGGCUUCAACUCAGGACAUUUUAUUCCAACAUUAGAGAGGAAUUCUUACAGGGACCUCAGCUCGCUCGGGUUAUCCAGCCAGGCUGCUAGCACCAAUGCAAAACUUGUGUGCUACUUCAUCUCUGCAGGAAGAGUUUGCCACCUCCAGACUAGUUCUUAGAGCUGGACUACUUCAAAAAAGCCACAUUUUAAGGGGAACUGCACUAACACAAGCACUGAAUUAAGCACAAAUGCCAACCCUCUACAUUCUGCCUAAAUAUAUUGCGAGGGCUUCCACUGCAGAAAAUUCCAACCUAACUUGCUUUCUCUCCCUCCUCAUUUAUUUGUUUAAAAUAUCACUAAUCCCUCUCUCUUGAAAUCUCUCGUACGUCCUGGCUCGCUGAAGAUCCAUCACUUUGGGUGUGAGUGAUGGAUAUCAUUAGUCUUGCAUAGCUUAAGGAAAUUGCAGCUGAAAUACUUCACGCUGAACAUACUUCACAGUUUGAAAUAAAUCCAUAAGGAAAAUCUGCCAGAACACCUCAAUUGCCUGCGUUUUUUUGCAAACUGUAAAAUAAACUUCGUCCCAAAAGCAGAAGGAGGACUUCCCAGCUCUGUUUUCCACAAAUAAGACAAAACUCUCUCUGCCAUGGGCAUCCACACACCAUCCCGCAUGGCUCUGGAGGUUCUGGUCCACCUUAUGGGGUGUGUUUUUUGGUGGGUAUGAGUGUACAAAACCUGACCUGUGGAAAUGCUCAUCUGUCCCCACCAGCUGUAAAUGAAGCAGCAGCAGAACUACAGCAGGAAGAGCCUUUAUAUCCUCUAUGUUCUCCUACUGCAACACCCAGACUCUUGAUGCAAUUUGAAGUCAUUUCACAGAGGAAAGCAAGAACAAGCCUCCAGAGAUAUAGUUCCCUCAUGCCCUUCCAGAGCCAGUACAACCCCCAGGAGCACAAGGUGACACGGGCUGAUCCCCAGGAUGUGAAGGCACACUGGGGAACCACAGGACCAGGAUCAUGGUGGAAUGCUGAGAGGAUUGACACACAGGAGGUGGUACCAACAACCAAGAACAACACAAGUACACCAAGACUGGAGAGCAAGACACAGCUGAACCCUGAGGUAGCACCUCUCCUUUUUUUCACCUACACUGCUCAGUCACACAGAUGGGCACCUCAAAAUCCAAGCAUAAAACCUUCCUUUGGGCAAAAAGACUGGAAGAUACUCUGCUACAGGAAUCCUGAUGGCCCAAAUAUACUUCAGAAAGCAGCAUCAGCUGUAGCUCAAGUGCAAAGUCCAGGUGGUACUGUUAUCAUCUCAACCUUUGUAUCUCACUGCCUUCACUGACAAUGAAAUCACCUCUGCAGGAAGGACUCCUCACACUGCAUUAUUAGUGGGCCUUGUUUGUUUUGAACCUGGUGGUAUCUAACACCUGUGGGAGACUGAGACUUCCCCGUGCUAACUGUAUUAAAAUAUAUGUGAAGGAGAUGGAGCUCCCACAGGCUUGGCAUCCUGAGCCUCCUCUUGUGGAGCAGCAGAGCAUCAGGACAGAGGUUUCCUCAGCACUGACUCAUGGCUAGUGCAGGUCCUGGGCCUUGUUUGGAAGACAACUGCAGUGCCAAGGACGUCAGGAUUUGCAGAAGGUUUCAUUACAGAGAGGGCUCUUUCAGCAAAGGACAUAGCUGAUCUUUAUGAUGCAGGUCCUUACCAACUCUGGCUUUUUAGUCAUGUUCUGAAGUAACAUACUCAGAAUGUCAAAAUAAUUAUGAUGUACUUUAACUUGAGCAAAACUCAUUUAAAUGGUGAAAGACACAGGUGAUUGCUUAACAUGUGCUAAAAGCUUCCUGGUUGGGCAGUAGUUUCCUAAAGAGGUAUCAUUAAAACAACAUAAAAAAGAUGUAACGUCAACUGUAUCAAAGAAUUCUGGUUGCUAUGAAUAAACAGAAAAGUUAAAAGAGAC
This is a long non-coding RNA of Chiroxiphia lanceolata (lance-tailed manakin), 4835 nucleotides long. RefSeq lists it as uncharacterized. NCBI's taxonomy places the organism in Eukaryota, Metazoa, Chordata, Aves, Passeriformes, Pipridae. The record is from RefSeq and is a predicted model, not a curated record. The transcript has 4 exons.